GCCAUUCUACGACCAUGUGCUGAGGAAGGC
Molecule: non-coding RNA, 30 nt
Filed under: Rattus norvegicus (Norway rat)
Lineage: Eukaryota; Metazoa; Chordata; Mammalia; Rodentia; Muridae
Source: RNAcentral